UACAUAGGGGGCAAGCGUUAUCCGGAUUUACUGGGUGUAAAGGGAGCGCAGGCGGCACGGCAAGCCUGAUGUGAAAGCCCGCGGCCCAACCGCGGGACUGCAUUGGGAACUACCGGGCUGGAGUGCCGGAGAGGUAGGCGGAAUUCCUAGUGUAGCGGUGAAAUGCGUAGAUAUUAGGAGGAACACCAGUGGCGAAGGCGGCCUACUGGACGGUGACUGACGCUGAGGCUCGAAAGCGUGGGGAGCAAACAGG
This 253-nucleotide ribosomal RNA is filed under the name uncultured bacterium. RNAcentral describes it as "partial 16S ribosomal RNA". It matches the Rfam family "Bacterial small subunit ribosomal RNA", at positions 524 to 776 of the family's 1533-position model. The record is from RNAcentral.